GCCUGGCUAGCUCAAUCGGCUAGAGCGUUUGACUUUUAAUAUCAAAAGGCUGCGGGUUCGAGUCCCGCGUCGGGCU
Yamadazyma jaroonii is the source of this 76-nucleotide non-coding RNA. Lineage: Eukaryota; Fungi; Ascomycota; Pichiomycetes; Serinales; Debaryomycetaceae. The record is from the annotation of a GenBank genome assembly.